This is a long non-coding RNA of Peromyscus eremicus (cactus mouse), 890 nucleotides long. RefSeq lists it as uncharacterized. The transcript has 3 exons. The record is from RefSeq and is a predicted model, not a curated record. Lineage: Eukaryota; Metazoa; Chordata; Mammalia; Rodentia; Cricetidae.
ACUCCCUCCUGCAUACCACACUCCCAGUUAUAAUUCUGCCCUAGAUAGACACAGUCUGGGGAGUAUAUGGGACAGAAGGUUAACUGAAGUGGGGGGUGCGGGGGGAUCCAUCUGUGCAGCUUUCAGGAGCCAUUAGCCAUGCCAGGGUGGGACUUCCCAGUGGGCAUCUGUUUGGGAGUUGUCCAUGCUCCCAUAAGUCCAGUAAAGCCACUGGACUAGAUGGGUAUGUCCUUUGGUCAGUUGCUACUGUCCUAUCUGGGAUGAAUGGAUGUUCUUGUCUUCCUCAGAAAAACUAAGGCAGCACGUGGUAUCGAGACAGAGAGACAGGACAAAACUGAGGGGCUGUAUAGGGAGAUCUGAGAAGUGACUGGCAAAAGGGAAUCCAUUGCAGAUCCUGAAAGUAGCAUGUAUGGCAUGUUUUAUAAGAGGACCAUGGUGAAGCUGUAUUGCCCUUGCAUGCAACUGAGGCCCAGCUCUCUGCCCAGAAAACUUGUCUGCUUGAAGAACUAACAGUGACAAAAAGACAUCAUUUCGUGAGCCUCGAUCUGUGGGUAAGUUACUGAGAAGACUCAUAGCCCAUCAAAUUGCAGAGAAUAAAGUGGCUGUUGCUAUGACAUGGUGGUCUGGUACUCAGCCACAGUGGAAGACAAUGACCAAGCAUCUCUGUCAUCUCCCAAUGCUCAGAGAAUACAGCAGCAGAAGAGGGGGUGGAAAGAGCGCCCGAGGAAGACUGAAGUGCCGUGUACCCAUCUUCAGAACAACACAUGGCCUUUACCUUCUUAAAACAGCCUCAGCUGCAUGGGCUUUCAGGAAUAUCUAAGGAAGUAGACUAACUGAAGGAGAAAUCCAUUUAGUUUUUAGAAGAGGAAUAAAUCUAUGUUAGGAUGGGA